AGAGUUUGAUCAUGGCUCAGAACGAACGCUGGCGGCGUGCUUAACACAUGCAAGUCGAACGCGAAAGUUUUCUUCGGAAAACGAGUAGAGUGGCGCACGGGUGAGUAACGCGUAAGUUAUCUACCCUCCCAUCUGGAAUAACCCACCGAAAGGUGUGCUAAUACCGGAUACGUUGGAAACAAGAAAGGUGGCCUCUAUUUAUAAGCUACCGUGGGGGGAUGAGCUUGCGUACCAUUAGCUAGUUGGUAGGGUAAUGGCCUACCAAGGCGACGAUGGUUAGCGGGUCUGAGAGGAUGAUCCGCCACACUGGAACUGAAACACGGACCAGACUCCUACGGGAGGCAGCAGUGAGGAAUAUUGCGCAAUGGGGAAACCCUGACGCAGCGACGCCGCGUGGAUGAUGAAGGCCCUUGGGUCGUAAAAUCCUGUCAGUUGGGAAGAAAUGCAUAUUGGCCAAUACCCAUUAUGUUUGACGGUACCAGCAAAGGAAGCACCGGCUAACUCCGUGCCAGCAGCCGCGGUAAUACGGAGGGUGCAAGCGUUGUUCGGAAUUACUGGGCGUAAAGCGCACGUAGGUGGUCUAUUAAGUCAGAUGUGAAAGUCCCUGGCUCAACUGGGGAAGUGCAUAUGAAACUGGUAGACUUGAGUACUGGAGGGGGAA
Molecule: ribosomal RNA, 661 nt
Filed under: uncultured delta proteobacterium
Lineage: Bacteria; Deltaproteobacteria
Description: bacterial SSU rRNA
Rfam family: Bacterial small subunit ribosomal RNA
Source: RNAcentral